UAGGGAAUAUUGCUUAAUGGGCGAAAGCCUGAAGCAGCAACGCCGCGUGAACGAAGAAGGCCUUCGGGUCGUAAAGUUCUUUUACGUGGGAUGAGGAAGGACAGUACCACGAGAAUAAGUCUCGGCUAACUACGUGCCAGCAGCCGCGGUAAAACGUAGUAGACGAGCGUUAUCCGGAUUUACUGGGCGUAAAGCGCGUGUAGGAGGCGCUACAAGUUGGAUGUGCAAGCUCCCGGCUUAACUGGGAGAGGUGGUUCAAGACUGUAG
This 267-nucleotide ribosomal RNA is filed under the name uncultured bacterium. RNAcentral's name for it is "partial 16S ribosomal RNA". It matches the Rfam family "Bacterial small subunit ribosomal RNA", at positions 355 to 638 of the family's 1533-position model. The record is from RNAcentral.